GCUGAGGUGGUGGAAUGGCAUACACGCAGGCCUCAGAAGCCUGUCCUCGAAAGAGCGAUAGGGGUUCAAAUCCCCUCCUCAGCA
Molecule: transfer RNA, 84 nt
Filed under: Candidatus Endomicrobiellum calonymphae
Lineage: Bacteria; Pseudomonadati; Elusimicrobiota; Endomicrobiia; Endomicrobiales; Endomicrobiaceae
Description: tRNA-Leu
Rfam family: tRNA
About the family: Transfer RNA (tRNA) molecules are approximately 80 nucleotides in length. Their secondary structure includes four short double-helical elements and three loops (D, anti-codon, and T loops).
Source: RNAcentral